RNAcentral lists this long non-coding RNA (395 nucleotides) under Triticum aestivum (bread wheat). RNAcentral describes it as "long non-coding RNA (TAES_LNC003643)". The record is from RNAcentral. Lineage: Eukaryota; Viridiplantae; Streptophyta; Magnoliopsida; Poales; Poaceae.
UCGUCUUCCCCGUCGGCGUCCGUCGUCGUGGUCCAGCCCUCUGCGGGGCACUGGUACGUCCGCACGUCGCCGCUCUCCUGCCUCUCCUGUUACCUUAUCCCCUCGUAUGGCAUAGGUCGAGUCGGCCAAUAGGGAUGUCGUCGAGUCAGGUUGAGCUCUUCACCCGUUCCCGUUUGCUCCCGCCCCUGCAGCCAGGCGGUUCCCUUCGUCGGCGGCAGGGAAUCGAUCCAGCAGAGUCGGGUUCCUGCUUCGUCGGGUGGGAUAGGGGAGGGGUUCCCGGCUGAUUUGGCCUAGCAGUAACUAGCGCCGAUCGAAUCGAUUGGUUGAUGGAUGAAGUCCCUGAUGCUGUGCUCGCUCAACUGGGCUGCGACCCUAGGCCCGCCCGCGUCACUCAC